RNAcentral lists this unclassified non-coding RNA (241 nucleotides) under Hevea brasiliensis (rubber tree). The record is from RNAcentral. Lineage: Eukaryota; Viridiplantae; Streptophyta; Magnoliopsida; Malpighiales; Euphorbiaceae.
GCUGAAAUCAAGAAUAGGUGCUCUAAUUUUCCUUUUUAAGUUAUAUUUGGUUUGAAGAGUGAAAUUGAGUCACAUGUUUACUAGUUCGGAGAAGUAAUCAUAGACCACAUGUUCCUCCCAUAAGGGUUUUGUUAGCUAGGUUUUAUGUUGCUGAUGUAGUUUUUAAUUCACGUUUUAAUUUAAUGAUCAUUUAUUCUUCUUGUUUUGAUUUUUCUAUAUAGGAUGGCGAGCCAACCGGCAA